GGUUUCCUUUGCUGUGCAAAAGCUUUUCAGUUUGAUGAGGUCCCAUGGGUUUAUUUUUGCUCUAAUUUCUAUUGCUUUGGGAGACUGACCUGAGAAAAUAUUCAUGAUGUUGAUGUCAGAGAGUGUUUUGCCUAUGUUUUCUUCUAGGAGUUUGAUGGUGUCCUGUCGUAUAUUUAAGUCUUUCAGCCAUUUGGAGUUUAUUUUUGUGCAUGGUGUGAGGGUGUGUUCUAGUUUCAUUGCUUUGCAUGCAGCUGUCCAGGUUUCCCAGCAAUGCUUGCUGAAUAGACUUUCUUUUUCCCAUUUUAUGUUCUUGCCUCCCUUGUCAAAGAUUAAUUGACCAUAGGUGUCAGGGUUUAUUUCCGGAUUCUCUAUUCUGUUCCAUUGGUCUGUCUGUCUGUUUUGAUACCAGUACCACACUGUUUUGAUGACUGUGGCUUUGUAGUAUUUCUUGAAGUCUGGGAGAGUUAUGCCUCCUGCUUGGUUUUUGUUUCUCAGGAUUGCUUUGGCGAUUCUGGGUCUUUUGUGGUUCCAUAUAAAUGUUUGGAUUGUUUGUUCUAGUUCUGUGAAAAAUGUCAUGGGUAAUUUGAUAGGGAUUGCAUUGAAUCUGUAGAUUGCUUUGGGUAGUAUGGCCAUUUUUACAAUAUUGAUUUUUCCAAUCCAGGAACAUGGAAUAUCUUUCCAUUUCUUUACAUCUUCUUUGAUUUCUUUGAUUAAAGUUUUAUAGUUCUCGGCAUAUAGGUCCUUUACCUCCUUGGUCAGGUGUAUUCCGAGGUAUUUGAUUUUGUGAGGUGCAAUUUUAAAAGGUAUCGUAUUUUUGUAUUCCUUUUCUAAUGUUUCAUUGCUGGUAUACAGAAAUGCAACUGACUUCUGAAUGUUAAUCUUAUAUCCUGCUACUUUGCUGAAUUUAUUAAUCAGUUCAAGGAGUUUUGGGGUUGAGUCCUUAGGGUUUUCUAGGUAUAGUAUCAUGUCAUCUGCAUACAGUGACAGUUUGAUCUCUUCUCUUCCUAUAUGGAUGCCUUUUAUUUCUUUUGUUUGUCUAAUUGCUGUGGCUAGGACUUCCAAAACUAUGUUGAAGAGCAGUGGUGAGAGUGGGCAUCCCUGUCUUGUUCCAGAUUUGAGUGAGAAGGCUUUCAGUUUUUCCCCAUUGAGUAUUAUAUUUGCUGUGGGUUUAUCAUAAAUGGCUUUGAUUAUAUUCAGGAAUGUUCCCUCUAUACCCACUUUGGCGAGGGUCUUGAUCAUGAAUGGAUGUUGGACUUUGUCAAAUGCUUUUUCUGCAUCUAUUGAGAUGAUCAUAUGAUUUUUGACUUUUUUUUUGUUAAUGUGGUGUAUGAUGCUGAUUGAUUUGCGUAUGUUGAACCAUCCUUGUGAACCUGGGAUGAACCCAACCUGGUCAUGGUGUAUAAUUUUUUUGGUAUGUUGUUGGAUUCGGUUGGCUAAGAUUUUGUUGAGAAUUUUUGCAUCUAUAUUCAUCAAUGAUAUUGGGCGAUAGUUUUCUUUUUUGGUGGUAUCUCUGUCUGGUUUUGGAAUGAGGGUGAUGGUGGCCUCAUAGAAUGUCUUUGGGAGUAUUCCUUCUUCUUCAACCUUUUGAAAGAGUUUAAGGAGGAUGGGCACCAAUUCCUCUUUAUAUGUUUGAUAGAAUUCACCUGUGAAGCCAUCUGGUCCUGGACUUUUAUUUGUAGGGAGUGAUUUUAUGACCUCUUCAAUUUCAUUUCUAGUGAUCGGUCUGUUCAGUUGGUCUGUUUCUGCUUGAUUCAGUUUUGGCAGGCUGUAAGAUUCUAGAAAAUUGUCCAUUUCUUCCAGAUUGUCAAACUUGUUGCCAUAUAGUUGUUCAUAGUAUUCUCUUAUGGUUUUUUGUAUUUCUGCUGUAUCCGUUGUGAUUUCUCCUUUUUCAUUUAUAAUUUUGGUUAUUUGGGUUCUUUCUCUCCUCUUUUUAGUGAGUCUGGCCAGGGGUUUGUCAAUUUUGUUCACCUUUUCAAAGAACCAGCUCUUGGUUUUAUUAAUUUUCUCUAUUGUUUUUUGAGUCUCUAUUUUAUUGAUUUCUUCUUUGAUCUUUAUAAUUUCCUUCCUUCUGCUGACUUUAGGACUUUUUUGUUCUUCUUUUUCUAAUUCGUUUAGGUGGAGGGUUAAGUUGUCAAUUUGGGAUCUUUCUUCUUUUUUGAGAAAGGCCUGUAUUGCUAUAAAUUUCCCUCUGAGCACUGCUUUCGCAGCAUCCCAUAGAUUUUGAGAGGUUGUGUCUUCAUUAUCAUUUGUUUCAAGGUAGUUUUUAAUUUCCUUCUUGAUUUCCUCAUUGACCCAUUGGUUUUUUAGUAGCAUGUUGUUUAGUCUCCAUGGAGUUUUUUCUCAUUUCUUUUCCUGUGGUUGAUUUCUAGUUUCAUACCUUUGUGGUCAGAGAAGAUACUUGAAAUAAUUUCUAUGCUCCUAAACUUGUUGAGGUUAGCUUUGUGCCCCAAUAUGUGGUCAGUUCUUGAGAAUGUUCCAUGUGCACUUGAGAAAAAUGUAUAUUCUGAUUUUUUUGAAUGUAGUGUCCUGAAGAUGUCAAUUAAGUCUAACUUUUCUAUUGUUGCCUUUAGGAUCUCUGUUGCAUUAUUGAUUUUCUGUCUAGAGGAUCUGUCCAUUGAUGUGAGUGGGAUGUUAAAGUCUCCUGCUAUGAUUGUAUUCCAUCAAUUUCUCCCUUUAUGUCAGUUAAUAUUUGUUGUAUGUAUCUGGGUGCUCCUAUGUUAGGGGCAUAUAUAUUGAUGAUUGUAAUAUCCUCUUCUUGAAUGGAUCCUUUUACCAUUAAAUAGUGUCCUUCUGGGUCUUUCUUUAUGGCUUUCAUUUUAGAGUCUAUUUUGUCUGAUAUGAGUAUUGCUACUCCUGCUUUCCUGUUUGUCCAUUCACAUGAAAUAUCUUUUCCCAUCCCUUCACAUCAAAUAUAUGUGUGUCCUUUACCCUAAGGUGAAUCUCUUGUAGACAACAGAUUAUAAGUUUUUGCCUUUUUAUCCAGUCUGCCACUCUGUGUAUUUUGAUUAGAGCAUUCAGUACAUUGACAUUUAAGGUGAUUAUUAAUAGUCAUGUAUUUAUUAUCAUUUUAGACCUUGUUUUCUAAUUGAUUCUAUGUUUCUCCUUUCUUCCUUUUUUUUUUUUUUUGGUUGGAUGAUUUCCAUUUACUUUAUGCUUGAGUAAUUUUCUUUUUAGUUUUUAUGAAUGUAAUAUUUGGUUUUGAUUUGUGCUUUCCCUGUUUUUUAAGUAUGUUAAUCCCUUCCUAUAUCUGCUUGCUUUAGCCUGAUAGUCAUAUAGGCUCAAACAC
This 3286-nucleotide long non-coding RNA is filed under the name Sus scrofa (pig). Its description in RNAcentral is "lncRNA (ENSSSCG00025015182.1)". The record is from RNAcentral. Lineage: Eukaryota; Metazoa; Chordata; Mammalia; Artiodactyla; Suidae.